Molecule: ribosomal RNA, 396 nt
Filed under: uncultured Chrysophyceae
Lineage: Eukaryota; Chrysophyceae
Description: partial small subunit ribosomal RNA
Rfam family: Eukaryotic small subunit ribosomal RNA
Source: RNAcentral
GCUUGUCUCAAAGAUUAAGCCAUGCAUGUCUAAGUAUAAGCACUUAUACCGUGAAACUGCGAAUGGCUCAUUACAUCAGUUAUAGUUUAUUUGAUAGUCCCCACUACUUGGAUAACCGUAGUAAUUCUAGAGCUAAUACAUGCGUCAAGUCCUGACUGCGCGAGCGGAAAGGAUGUGUUUAUUAGAUACAACCAAUGCGGGGCAACCCGGUAUAUGGUGAUUCAUAAUAACUUUCGGAUCGAUCUUCGGAUCGAUGCAUCAUUCAAGUUUCUGCCCUAUCAGCUUUGGAUGGUAGGGUAUUGGCCUACCAUGGCUUUAACGGGUAACGGAGAAUUAGGGUUCGAUUCCGGAGAGGGAGCCUGAGAAAUGGCUACCACAUCCAAGGAAGGCAGCAGG